GAUGAACGCUGGCGGCGUGCCUAAUACAUGCAAGUCGAGCGAACAGACGAGGAGCUUGCUCCUCUGACGUUAGCGGCGGACGGGUGAGUAACACGUGGAUAACCUACCUAUAAGACUGGGAUAACUUCGGGAAACCGGAGCUAAUACCGGAUAAUAUAUUGAACCGCAUGGUUCAAUAGUGAAAGACGGUUUUGCUGUCACUUAUAGAUGUAUCCGCGCUGCAUUAGCUAGUUGGUAAGGUAACGGCUUACCAAGGCAACGAUGCGUAGCCGACCUGAGAGGGUGAGCGGACAAACUGGAACUGAGACACGGUCCAGACUCCUACGGGAGGCAGCAGUAGGGAAAUUUCCGCAAUAGGCGAAAGCCUGACGGAGCAAAGCCGCGUGAGUGAUGAAGAUCUUCGGAUCGUAAAACUCUGUGAUUAGAGAAGAACAAAUGAGUAAGUAACUAUGCACGGCUUGACAGUACCUAAUCAGAAAGCCAAGGCUAACUACGUG
RNAcentral lists this ribosomal RNA (497 nucleotides) under uncultured bacterium. RNAcentral's name for it is "partial 16S ribosomal RNA". It matches the Rfam family "Bacterial small subunit ribosomal RNA", at positions 28 to 507 of the family's 1533-position model. The record is from RNAcentral.